This 87-nucleotide transfer RNA is filed under the name Afipia sp. Its description in RNAcentral is "tRNA-OTHER". It matches the Rfam family "tRNA". From Rfam's summary of the family: Transfer RNA (tRNA) molecules are approximately 80 nucleotides in length. Their secondary structure includes four short double-helical elements and three loops (D, anti-codon, and T loops). The record is from RNAcentral. Lineage: Bacteria; Pseudomonadati; Pseudomonadota; Alphaproteobacteria; Hyphomicrobiales; Nitrobacteraceae.
GGGGACGUGGUGGAAUUGGUAGACACAACGGUCUUUAAAACCGGGGCCCUCAGAAGCGUACGGGUUCGAGUCCCGUCGUCCCUACCG